Molecule: long non-coding RNA, 141 nt
Organism: Gavialis gangeticus (Gharial)
Lineage: Eukaryota; Metazoa; Chordata; Crocodylia; Gavialidae
Exons: 3
Source: RefSeq, a predicted model, not a curated record
AGCAGAAAUUCAUGACUGAGAGAUUGCAGGUUUUCAGUCUAAAUGAUGAAGAUAUCAUUGAUAUAGCAUAAGUAUAGCAAGGGUUUGAUGGUGCAGUUCUUGAGGAAGUCUUCUUCCAGGUGGCUCAUACAAAGGUUGGCA